This 469-nucleotide long non-coding RNA is filed under the name Homo sapiens (human). RNAcentral describes it as "non-protein coding lnc-URGCP-2:5". The record is from RNAcentral. Lineage: Eukaryota; Metazoa; Chordata; Mammalia; Primates; Hominidae.
UGGGUGGGGUUGGGGGGUAGUCCAGGCUUGUUCCUGCAACUGUAUGUUCUCUUCAGACCCCUCCCUGGCGAUGCCAGAUUCACUGGGCUGGCAGAUUCUGCCCCCAAACCUGUCCAACCAGUUGUUUGAGAGGAGGGGGUAUCUGGGAGGGGCAGCAGGAGAUGCCAGGAACAGCUUCCCCUAGCGCAGCACAGACUACAGACGGGGGAGCCUCUGGGGCUGCAGACACUGCAGACGGACGGACAGACAGAUGGACAACAGCUGGAGGCUUGGCCCCAGCCAUAGGGCUCUCUGCGGGACAGUCCCAGCUGCUAGUGUUGCUGUUGCUGCUACUGACCCGUGUCCAGCCUGGGACAGACGUGGCUGCCCCAGAGCACAUCAGCUAUGUGCCCCAGCUCUCAAACGACACCCUGGCGGGGAGGCUCACCCUGUCCACCUUCACGCUGGAGCAGCCUCUAGGCCAGUUCAG